This is a non-coding RNA of Acanthosepion pharaonis, 112 nucleotides long. NCBI's taxonomy places the organism in Eukaryota, Metazoa, Mollusca, Cephalopoda, Sepiida, Sepiidae. The record is from the annotation of a GenBank genome assembly.
ACGGAUAUAUCACGUCGAAACACCGUUUCUCGUACGAUCACCGAAGUUAAGCAACGUUGAGAUUGGGCAGUAUCUAGAUGGGAGACCGGCUCGGAAUACCAGAUGCUGUAAG